Molecule: microRNA precursor, 193 nt
Filed under: Oryza nivara
Lineage: Eukaryota; Viridiplantae; Streptophyta; Magnoliopsida; Poales; Poaceae
Description: MIR812 microRNA precursor family
Rfam family: MIR812 microRNA precursor family
Source: Rfam by way of RNAcentral
UACUGGUCCCUCCAUUCCCAAAUAAGUGCAGUUUAUUUGAAAAAAGAUUAUGAUUAGUAUUUUUAUUGUUAUUAGAUGAUAAAACAUAAAUAGUACUCUAUGUGUAACUAAUUUUUAUAAUAUUUUUCAUAAAUUUUUCAAAUAAGGCAGAUGGUCAAAACGCUGAACACGGAUAUAUAUGGCUACACUUAUU